AGAGUUUGAUCAUGGCUCAGAAUGAACGUUGGCGGCGUGGAUUAGGCAUGCAAGUCGAACGAAUCCCAUUUGGGUAACUGGAUGGGGGAAGUGGCGAAAGGGGCAGUAAGGCAUAGGUAACCUACCCUGGAGUUGGGCAUAGCCAUUCUAACGAAUGGGUAAUUCCCGAUGGCCCAGCGAGGAGACAUCUCUUUGCUGGUAAAGAGUUUCGCUCCGGGAGGGGCCUAUGUGCUAUUAGCUAGUUGGCGGGGUAACGGCCCACCAAGGCUAAGAUGGCUAGCGGGUGUGAGAGCACGACCCGCGCCACUGGCACUGAGACACUGGCCAGACACCUACGGGUGGCUGCAGUCGAGGAUCUUCGUCAAUGGGCGAAAGCCUGAACGAGCGACGCCGCGUGCGCGAUGAAGGCCUUCGGGUUGUAAAGCGCGAAAGUGGGGACGAAAGCCGAAAGGUUUGACCGAUCCACAGUAAGCUCGGGCUAAGUUCGUGCCAGCAGCCGCGGUAAGACGAACCGAGCGAACGUUAUUCGGAAUCACUGGGCUUAAAGGGCGCGUAGGCGGGCAUCCAAGUCUAUGGUGAAAUCCGGCAGCUUAACUGUCGAACUGCCGUGGAUACUGGGUGUCUCGAGGGAGGUAGGGGCGUGCGGAACUAUUGGUGGAGCGGUGAAAUGCGUUGAUAUCAAUAGGAACUCCGGUGGCGAAGGCGGCACGCUGGACCUCUUCUGACGCUGAGGCGCGAAAGCCAGGGGAGCAAACGGGAUUAGAUACCCUAGUAGUCC
RNAcentral lists this ribosomal RNA (778 nucleotides) under uncultured bacterium. Its description in RNAcentral is "bacterial SSU rRNA". It matches the Rfam family "Bacterial small subunit ribosomal RNA", at positions 8 to 796 of the family's 1533-position model. The record is from RNAcentral.